This 484-nucleotide ribosomal RNA is filed under the name uncultured bacterium. Its description in RNAcentral is "bacterial SSU rRNA". It matches the Rfam family "Bacterial small subunit ribosomal RNA", at positions 28 to 513 of the family's 1533-position model. The record is from RNAcentral.
GAUGAACGCUAGCGGGAGGCUUAACACAUGCAAGUCGAGCGGGAUUAGCAGCAAUGCUAUGAGAGCGGCGCACGGGUGCGUAACGCGUAUGCAACCUGCCUUAUACAGGGGAAUAGCCCAUGGAAACGUGGAUUAAUGUCCCAUAGGAUUACGGAUUCGCAUGGAUUUGUGAUUAAAACUGAGGUGGUAUAAGAUGGGCAUGCGUCUGAUUAGGUAGUUGGUAGGGUAAUGGCCUACCAAGCCGACGAUCAGUAGGGGUUCUGAGAGGAUUACCCCCCACACUGGUACUGAGACACGGACCAGACUCCUACGGGAGGCAGCAGUGAGGAAUAUUGGUCAAUGGCCGGAAGGCUGAACCAGCCAUCCCGCGUGCAGGAUGACGGCCCUAUGGGUUGUAAACUGCUUUUGUACCUGAAGAAACCUGUUUACGAGUAGACAGUUGCCAGUAAGGUAUGAAUAAGCAUCGGCUAACUCCGUGCCAGCA